Molecule: long non-coding RNA, 507 nt
Organism: Bos taurus (domestic cattle)
Lineage: Eukaryota; Metazoa; Chordata; Mammalia; Artiodactyla; Bovidae
Source: Ensembl
AGGAAGUGGCUGAGAGGGCGCCCUGAUAGACUUCGGCUCCGGGGCUGCAGCGGUGCAGGUGGUCCUGGGGUUUGCAGUCUGGCAACCGCCAAGCAAGUAGGGGGCAGUGCAAGAGCCAAGACUUCUGGCCCUCAGCUCUCUUGGGAGUCUGAGGUCUGGAUGAAGCUGGCCUCCGGGGACCACUCCCUGGGAAGGAACUAGGCCCCAGUGGAAGGAGGACCCUAGCCAGUCUCCGAGGGGCUCGCUCAGGCCCUGAGCACAUGGGACAGCGGCCCACAUAUUAGACGUGAUGGCUGUGAGGGGAUUUCAGACCCUCCAGCCCAGAGCCAAGUCAGCCUUGUUCCCUGCUGAACCCUGGGGGCCUCGAACAAUGCCUGGCCAGGAACUCCCACUUGAUUCAGAAUGUGACUCCCUGACACACAUAGAGACACAGAGACACGUGGUGACCUGCUCCACAAGGACUCCUCGACACACACCCACCCCUGCCGGGCUGCCACGGACACACCC